Molecule: ribosomal RNA, 196 nt
Filed under: Alphaproteobacteria bacterium
Lineage: Bacteria; Pseudomonadati; Pseudomonadota; Alphaproteobacteria
Description: partial 16S ribosomal RNA
Rfam family: Bacterial small subunit ribosomal RNA
Source: RNAcentral
AAGCCGGAGGAAGGCGGGGAUGACGUCAAGUCAUCAUGGCCCUUACAAGGUGGGCUACACACGUACUACAAUGGGAGUUACAAUGGGUCGCUACACGGCAACGUGAUGCUAAUCUCAAAAAGCUCCCUCAGUUCAGAUUGGGGACUGCAACUCGUCCCCAUGAAGUUGGAAUCGCUAGUAAUCGCGGAUCAGCAUG